ACAGCAGCAGCCGCGGUAAUACAGAGGGUGCGAGCGUUAAUCGGAUUUACUGGGCGUAAAGCGUGCGUAGGCGGCUUUUUAAGUCGGAUGUGAAAUCCCUGAGCUUAACUUAGGAAUUGCAUUCGAUACUGGGAAGCUAGAGUAUGGGAGAGGAUGGUAGAAUUCCAGGUGUAGCGGUGAAAUGCGUAGAGAUCUGGAGGAAUACCGAUGGCGAAGGCAGCCAUCUGGCCUAAUACUGACGCUGAGGUACGAAAGCAUGGGGAGCAAACAGGAUUAGAGACCCGCGUAGUCCCUGUCUCUUAUAC
This 305-nucleotide ribosomal RNA is filed under the name uncultured bacterium. Its description in RNAcentral is "partial 16S ribosomal RNA". It matches the Rfam family "Bacterial small subunit ribosomal RNA", at positions 505 to 807 of the family's 1533-position model. The record is from RNAcentral.